RNAcentral lists this ribosomal RNA (322 nucleotides) under uncultured eukaryote. Its description in RNAcentral is "partial 18S ribosomal RNA". It matches the Rfam family "Eukaryotic small subunit ribosomal RNA", at positions 1470 to 1796 of the family's 1831-position model. The record is from RNAcentral.
CCCUUAGAUGUUCUGGGCCGCACGCGUGCUACACUGAGUGGAUCAGCGGGUCAGGUUGCGCGAAAGUGUUUCCUAAUCUUGAAAUCCGCUCGUGAUGGGGAUUGACGUUUGCAAUUUUCCGUCAUGAACGAGGAAUACCUUGUAAGCGCGGGUCAUCAUCCCGCGCUGAAUACGUCCCUGCCCUUUGUACACACCGCCCGUCGCUCCUACCGAUUGAGUGGUCCGGUGAGGCUUUGGGAUCUGAGCGGAAAGAGCGUUUCGCUGUUUCUGCUCGGAAAACUCAGUCGAACCUUAUCAUUUAGAGGAAGGAGAAGUCGUAACA